CGGGAAAGGUAAAAGGAUUCAGUGAAGUACGUUCGACUCCUCGAAUAAGAGUCGAAGCAGAAAGGGAGUUGAGCCGGGUUCGACGCCUCGAAUAAAGGGGUCGAGGCAGGAAGAGUUGAGCUGAAGAGAAAUGACACGGAGUGAAUGUAAGGGAGAGGGAGUUAGUUACCUUCCAACCCAUAUAUCAAGCAGUACAACAAGAGCAGCGAGAACAAGUAUAACCAGAACAAUAGCAGGCUCGAACAGUUGCAUUAAGAGCCUCGCUUUCUCAAGUAAGGUAUUUAUUAAGUGUAGCUUUCCUUGCCAGUGUUAGUUAUACGUUAUUAAUAUACCGAGAAGGCGUUACGCUGCGAGAGAAUACCAAUCACAACUAAAGGAGUGUAUGACAGUAAGACUUCUGAGCUCUAGCACCGAGGUAAAUACAGUGCACCGAGGUGCAUACAGUGAGUGACUGAGCACAUAAGCAAACAUGGUGUAUUGUGGAGCAUGGCAUUGGACUACUCAAGCCAAGGUUCCGUGUUCUCCAGGGAGAAGUUUGCUUGAACCCAUCAAAGACCUGCCAAGUGAUCACUGCAUGUGGAAUUCUUCAUAACAUAUACAUGAGAUCUAAGUGGUCACUGCCAAGCCCUUUCUUCUGCUUCGGCUGGUGUGGAACUGUCCCUGAGACCAUCAAGUACUUCCUCCCUCACCAUUAAGCCUGCUUAUCUUCCUGCUGGUGGCCUCCCUCCCACCAUAACCUGCUGCUGUCCUGCCUCACCUGUGCCUGACUGAGGAAGACCUGUAAGCUGCUGGCAGACCUGUCAUACUCCUGCAGGACUACCUGAGGGCUCAUAAGUAGCAACACAUCUUCACAGAAGAAAACUUUCAAUAUAUGUAUUUUUCAUAUUUGUCAUUAGGAUAAUAAAGUACAAAUGAUGUUUGA
Long non-coding RNA from Portunus trituberculatus (swimming crab), 922 nucleotides. RefSeq lists it as uncharacterized. The record is from RefSeq and is a predicted model, not a curated record. The transcript is spliced from 4 exons. Lineage: Eukaryota; Metazoa; Arthropoda; Malacostraca; Decapoda; Portunidae.